Stegostoma tigrinum is the source of this 1595-nucleotide long non-coding RNA. RefSeq lists it as uncharacterized. The record is from RefSeq and is a predicted model, not a curated record. Lineage: Eukaryota; Metazoa; Chordata; Chondrichthyes; Orectolobiformes; Stegostomatidae. The transcript has 5 exons.
GAUCCGGGGACCCGCCCCCAGAAUUGUGGCCUCGUCCUCUGAUUGGUUGGAGAACAAGCACAUCCGGGGCCUUCUUCCUGUUCCGCCUCUUGCUUGUUAUUGGUCGUUAGAUGUUUUGGUCAGCUAUGGAGCAUGCGUAUUGGGAGGGAUAUCCGGAAUGAAAUGGUCCUCCAUGAGAGCCACAAGCGGGCAUUCAACAACUUGAAAACUGGAUUGAAAAUGAGAGACAGAGCAGCCACUCCAGAAGCUUCCAAAAUCACGCUGCACCUUCUUGAACUGCUGCGAUCCAUGUGGUGACGUAGCUCCCAUGUUGCAAUUUGGACGACCAGAGCAGCACACAGUCCGACCGAAGAGGACUAGCCAACAUAACUUCCCAAGUCCUGUACUCAGACCUGAGCAAUGAAGACAAGUGUGCUAAACGCCUUCUUAACCACCCUGUCUACCUGUGAUGCAAAUUUCAAAGAAUGAUGUACCUGAAACCCGAGGUUUUUUUCUGUUCUGCAACACUACCGAGAGCCCAACCAUUAAUUGUGACAUGGACUUUGCUGGCUUGGCCAGAAUUUAUUGCCCAUCUGUGAUUGCACAGAGGGCUAUCAAGUGUCAGCUGCAUUGCUGUACGGCUGGAGGCACUCACAGACCAAACCAGAGCCAGGAGCGGGGACAAAAGAUGGCUGUAAAAACGCAGUAAUUAGGACUGCAGAAGGGCCACCCAGUGAUCAACGGAAAAGUGGCAGAAACAGAUUACAAAAUAGAGUGAAGAUGCGGUUAUGGCGCCUAGAAAUUUGAAGAAUAUAAACAAGUUUCUUUUAAUGACAUGGUAAAUUUGUGAAGAGAUUGAAUUCCACAGAUGAGAGUGAAAUUCAAAUUGAUGCUGUCUCACUAAGUAAAGAAAAUUAGUGAUGCAGAGUGUUUAGAGAAGAGGCAGUAAAGAUUUAUCCAUGAGUUAAAUACUGAUUCAAAACUCACUGGCCACAUCUGAGUGCUGGAGUGUGUAACUGGAACUGCAAUUCAGAGAGACUGUUUGUUUGAUUUCUCAGGUCAAGUGAGAGAGCCGCUGUUCCCAAUCUGUCAGCUGUCACAGAACUGUAGUAACGUUAGAGUUUAUUUUAAAGAACUUACAAUAAGUAGUAGAAAUUAAUAUCAUUUCUAAUCUUAUGAAUUUGGGUUAACAGCGAAAAUAAAGCCCAACCAAAUUUGGAAGAGCCCUCAGUGAUAACGGAGCAUUGAGGUUAUUCGUAAUUAAUGUGGUGCAGCUGGUAAAUGUUUGGGAAGGAGUACAAAACUGUCAGGAUUGAAAUGUGAUUUAACAACAGGUAUUCUAAAGGCAAAUAAUAAAGGAAACAGUUAAACAUCAACAGACUGUGGGAGCACCAAGUUCUGUAGAGCCAUUAACCAUGCGUUUACUGGACUGGAUGUAUCGCUUAGGCAAAUAUGGCUAACAAUUACAUUAUAACAUUGCGUGUCAUUGCUGUAAUGUGAAAUGCAUAAAAAUGUUACACUUGGUUGGGUGGAGUGAGACAGCACCAGAAAAUCUCCCACAAUGAAUUGCUAAGGAGCUCCGCAUAAAGGUUGCUCAUGCUGCUGAACACAGAACA